This 500-nucleotide ribosomal RNA is filed under the name uncultured bacterium. RNAcentral describes it as "partial 16S ribosomal RNA". It matches the Rfam family "Bacterial small subunit ribosomal RNA", at positions 30 to 523 of the family's 1533-position model. The record is from RNAcentral.
AUUGAACGCUGGCGGCAUGCCUUACACAUGCAAGUCGAACGGCAGCACGGGAGCAAUCCUGGUGGCGAGUGGCGAACGGGUGAGUAAUAUAUCGGAACGUGCCCAGUCGUGGGGGAUAACGCAGCGAAAGCUGUGCUAAUACCGCAUACGAUCUACGGAUGAAAGCGGGGGAUCGUAAGACCUCGCGCGAUUGGAGCGGCCGAUAUCAGAUUAGCUAGUUGGUGGGGUAAAGGCCCACCAAGGCGACGAUCUGUAGCUGGUCUGAGAGGACGACCAGCCACACUGGAACUGGGACACGGUCCAGACUCCUACGGGAGGCAGCAGUGGGGAAUUUUGGACAAUGGGCGCAAGCCUGAUCCAGCAAUGCCGCGUGCAGGAUGAAGGCCUUCGGGUUGUAAACUGCUUUUGUACGGAACGAAACGGCCCUUUCUAAUACAGGGGGCUAAUGACGGUACCGUAAGAAUAAGCACCGGCUAACUACGUGCCAGCCGCCGCCGUAA